UUCAAUGGCACAACUUAUCAGAAUUUCUAUUUAAAGGAUUUCUAUUAUUGGAAGUGGAUUAUGGAGAAACCAAACAGGUCAAGAGGUUCCUGGCUGGCAAUAUGGGUUUACUGAAGACGUUGUUCUGUCUACUUCUGUUACAUCCAGUUCUAGACUGUGAACUUUUACAACAUCUACCUUUAUUUGUACUCCUGGAAAAGUACUGUGAAGCUCUGUCAUCUUUAUCCAACAUUACAGGGUUUAAACAAUACAGAGAGACAUUGGGGGUGGAGUUGAAACACCAGCACAAGCAAGCAGGAUUUAUUCACAAAACAGAAAGUAAACAAAGGGGUCAUGUGACGUUACCAGCGAUGGUAACGUACAGAGGACACAUACAGCAAGCUGUACAAAAGGCAAAAUAAAACACAGUCCAAAAACUACAAAUAAAAGGUGCCACAGAGGGCGAGCGCUGGCCUUAUAAAACAAGACGUCCCACUCUCCAACUCCAGGAACCGGCUACACCACAUAACCUUCACUAUACAUCACAUGGGAUCACUAUCCCCUAAACUAACCUACUGAUGAGCCGGUCUUCAUACAACGACUCGGGCUGCUUCAUACGGCCUUGACUGGGCAUUGCCUUCACAAGCACCGCCUGCAGUCUCAGGGUUGUGUAGCUGUCGUUCCUGCAGAGCGGACCCUCUCCUCCCGAGUAUACGCCGCUCCCCUCUGGUAUGGUGUUGCAGUCGUCUGUGUAAAGGGAUCAGAGUGCCUCGGACUGGAUGGUCUGGCAAUUAAUUCCAGGGAAAGGUGGAAGUCGGCCAUCUAGAAAGGGGGCGGAGCCACGGUACACCAAGUCAUCGCCCCAGACGGGAGGCGAUGUGGCAAUCACGAAUUGGAGGAAAAACGGUUGCACUCGCUAACUAAGGGGGCGUGACUGAUGGUACAUAGCGAAGCAAUCUGUUCCUUUGUUAUGGUUGCGAGAGAACCAAUGAAGGAUUGUAAAAGAACUGUGAGUGUUUAGUGUUUGUUUGUUUUGUCGUUUCUAAUUGUACUCGUUUGUUCUUAUUAGACAGCUAACACGUACCGGGAGCUGUCGCUUAAGGCCAGCACCAACACGGACAACACUUCAUGCAGUGUUGCUCGGAUAUAUUGUGAGAAGUGUUGAAUUUAAAUCAAGGGAAGUAAUGUUAAAAUUUUACAAUGCAUUAGUAAGACCUCACCUAGAAUAUUGUGUUAAGUUCUGGUCACCUCGUUACAAAAAGGAUAUUGCUGCUCUCGAAAGAGUGCAAAAAGAGCAACCAGAAUUAUCCCAGGUUUAAAAGGCAUGUCGUAUGCAGACAGGCUAAAAGAAUUGAAUCUAUUCAGUCUUGAACAAAGAAGACUACGCGGUGAUCUGAUUUAAGCAUUCAAAAUCCUAAAAGGUAUAGACAAUGUUGACCCAGGGGACUUUUUUGACCCGAAAAAAGGACCAGGGGUCACAAAUUUAGAUUAGAUAAAGGGGCAUUCAGAACAGAAAAUAGGAGGCACUUUUUUACACAGAGAAUUGUGAGGGUCUGGAACCAACUCCCCAGUAAUGUUGUUGAAGCUGACACCCUGGGAUCCUUCAAGAAGCUGCUUGAUGAGAUUCUGGGAUCAAUAAGCUACUAAUAACCAAAUGAGCAAGAUGGGCUGAAUGGACUCCUCUCGUUUGUAAACUUUCUUAUGUUCUUCUUAUGUUCCUUAUGUUCACCACUGUACAUGAAUAAAUUGUAUUUCACUACUUGCACGUUAGCACUCACUCUGGACAUGUGACCGUGUUUGUGUCUUGUGUGUGUUUAUACUGUGUUUAUUAUUUCGGGACUGUAACCCGUGGUUUAACAAUGUAUUGCCUGGGAUUAUUAUUUACGGUUGCCACACGACCUGGAUUAUAAAUGGAAACAAAUAAAGAAUUG
Acipenser ruthenus (sterlet) is the source of this 1910-nucleotide long non-coding RNA. RefSeq lists it as uncharacterized. NCBI's taxonomy places the organism in Eukaryota, Metazoa, Chordata, Actinopteri, Acipenseriformes, Acipenseridae. The record is from RefSeq and is a predicted model, not a curated record. The transcript is spliced from 3 exons.